Molecule: long non-coding RNA, 975 nt
Filed under: Triticum aestivum (bread wheat)
Lineage: Eukaryota; Viridiplantae; Streptophyta; Magnoliopsida; Poales; Poaceae
Description: long non-coding RNA (TAES_LNC025959)
Source: RNAcentral
AUAUCAAAAGGAGGUACCAUUGUAACACCAUGCAGUUUUGGCAGUCUUCCCAUAGUGCUUGCUAUUUAUAUCUUUACAGAUAGAUUGAUUAUGCACUACGAUGCUUGACUUCUCAGGCGGGAACCUUCCGAUGCAAUGUGGUGAUUACCAGGGUUUCACAUUUGAAAAAAUGGUGGGCUACCUUCUGUGCAGACUGCCAUCACAUGUCCAUGCCAGCUACAACAUCGCUUACCCAGCCAGAUGUUUAUAUGUGCUCUCGUUGAUCUUGUUCAUGCACUAGCGCUACAAUUGGAUGAGAACAAUUCAAUGUUAUAUCAAUCAAUGGUCAUUUGCUCUCCCUGCUCAUUUCAUCUAUGUUAAUGUUCAGGUACACAUUGUUUGUCCUUGCGAAAGAUCGAAGUGGAGAGGCUGAAUUUGAAUUGUUUGGCACAAAGGCUCAACAAAUCAUCGAUCGAUCUGCUAGCCAGGUCCUUCGCAACAGCACUCACAUGGCCCUGCUAUUCCCAAUGUUCAUGUAGUGGCCUCAAUGCUAAGGAAAACCCCGCCUGAACUCAGUGGUCUCCUUUCCAUGAGAUGUAAGUUUGUUGUUCGUGCAUCGCCUGAAAGUUUCUUCGGAAGGUGGCCGAUGUUCCAUGUCGAUGCUAUUGAGUCCUUUGAGCCCGUCAAAUCGAACCUCUCUAUGAUAGAUUUGCUUACGCCAUCAUGAAGUGAUGCACGCAAGGAACUUCUUAUGAGAUCAGUGUGGAUGUUCCCUAGAGUUGAUUUUCGGUCUCCUGAGUGAUCUCUAGAUCUUUUGAUAAUGAACCUUUUUAUUAGUAGGAUUGUAAAUAUAUCGGUUCUGUAAACAGUAUUGUAUUAACUAUGACACUAUGGUCUUUUACCUUGGGACUAGGCUGCUGUUGAAAACAUGGUUAAAUAUAAUGUUCAUGUGCGUUUCCUUUCACUUAAAGAUCAGUCUAUUCACUUGACUGUAUG